UACGGAGGAUCCAAGCGUUAUCCGGAUUUAUUGGGUUUAAAGGGUGCGUAGGCGGCCUUGUAAGUCAGGGGUGAAAGACGGCAGCUCAACUGUCGCAGUGCCUUUGAUACUGCAGGGCUUGAAUACACUUGAAGUAGGCGGAAUGUGACAAGUAGCGGUGAAAUGCAUAGAUAUGUCACAGAACACCGAUUGCGAAGGCAGCUUACUAAAGUGUGAUUGACGCUGAGGCACGAAAGCGUGGGGAUCAAACAGG
RNAcentral lists this ribosomal RNA (253 nucleotides) under uncultured bacterium. RNAcentral's name for it is "partial 16S ribosomal RNA". It matches the Rfam family "Bacterial small subunit ribosomal RNA", at positions 524 to 776 of the family's 1533-position model. The record is from RNAcentral.